AUGCAUAAAUCAAUUAUUAGGAAAGAUGCUUACCUGAAGCGAACCUUAUUGUCGUCUGGGUUCGGGUGUCCUCUCUGCCCCAAUUUCAAGACAGAAAGUGAUGAAGUGAUCCAGAGGCACUUGAGCAACCACAGUGCAAAUGCUGUUAUUUUCCAGGACAAAUUCUGCAUCUGCAGGUGCAACUUAUCCUGCAGGGCUGGAGGCCACUUCCAUUGUCCUUUUUGUGACGGCACUAUUAUGCGUAAAGACGAUAUGGUGUCACAUCUGUAUGUGUGUCCAAAUGAAUGUAAAAUGAUUCAGCCUUCUCUGGUGGACUCUUGUAAGUCACCUUCACCAGAGACCUCGCCCCAUGAAGUGAACCAGAGGCAUUUGAGAAACCACAAUGCAAAUGAGGUUCUUUUCAAGGGUUUUUAUAUGUUGUUUGGAUCAAGUAAUGUGAUCCAACCCACACUGGAGAAAUGUUGUGAGCCAUCUUCAACAGAAACCCAGUCUUUAAAAGAGGAUCUAUCACCAGUGCAUAAAUCAAUUAUUAGGAAAGAUGCAUACCUGAAGCGAACCCUGUUAUCAUCUGGGUUUGGGUGUCCUCUCUGCCCCAAUUUCCAGACAGAAAGUGAUGAAGUGAUCCAGAGGCAUUUGAGGAACCACAAUACAAAUGCUAUUAUUUUCCAGGACAAAUUCUGCAUCUGCCGGUGCAAAUUGUUCUGUCAUUUUGAAGGCCACUUCCAUUGUCCUUUUUGUGGUGGGACAGUAACUAAAAAGAAAGAUAUGACAUUCCAUCUUACCACUUGUCCAAACAAAAGUAACGUGAUCCAACCCACACUGGAGAAUUCUUCUGCAGACCACUCCUACCGGCAAGCAGCAUCACCAAAGACCCUGACACCUGCCACGGAUUUUGAUCAGACAACUGCUACCACCUCAGAAAAACCCACAAUUCAAGAGAGAGAAGUAAUUCUGCCACUGACCAAGGCUGAAAGUGAUGAAGUGAUCCAGAAACUCUUGAGAAACCACAAUGCAAAUGCAGUUCAUUUCCAGGACUUGUCUAGUAGAGUUGGAGGCCACUUCCAUCCUUCUUUUUGUGACAGUACAAUAACUACCAAGGACUUGAUGUUCCAUCUUACCACGUGUCCAGAUAAAAGUAAUGUGAUCCAACCCACACUGGUGGAAUCUUACAAAUUCUGCGUCUGCAGGUGCAACUCAUCUGCAGACCACUUCCAUUGUCCUUUUUGUGACGACACAAUCAUUCGUAAGGAAGAUAUGAUAUUACAUCUGAAUGUGUGUCCAAAUAAAAAUAAGUCAACCCAAUCCACAUUGGUGGAAUCUGCAGACCACUCUUAUGCAAAAGCAGCUUUACCCAAGACCCCCACACCUGUCACAGAUUUUGAUCAGACAACUCCUGCUACUACCUCAGACCAACUCAUGAUUCAGGAGGAGGAAGUGACUGUGCCACUGACCAACGUGCAUGAAUCAGUUAUUAGGAAUGAUACGGACCUGAAGCAAAGCCUGCUAACAUCUGGGUUUGAGUGUCCUCUCUGCCCCGAUUUCAAGACUCAAAGUGAUCGAGUGAUCCAGACGCAUUUGAGCAACCACAUUGCAAAUGGAGUGCAUUUCCAGGAAAACGUAGUCUGCAGGUGCAAUUUGCCUUGUAGAGCUGGAGGCCACUUUCAUUGUCUUUUUUGUGACAAGACACUAAUUAACAAGGACAGUAUGGCAUUACAUCUGAUCAGAUGUCAAAACAAAAGUACAGUGGUCCAAUUCCCACUGGUGGAAGCUUCACCAGAGCCUUUCACGCAGCCUUUAAUAGAUCCUCUGGAACCAUCAGGGAGUGAAGACCACUCGGUGUCCUCACAAACUGCAGAUCAUGCCUACACACAAACUCCCACACUCAUCACAGCUUUAAAUCAGACAACUCCUGCUACCACCUCAGACGCACUCAUGAUUCAAGAGGAGGAAAUAACUCUACCAUUGUCCAAGGCUGAAAGUGAUGAAGUGAUCCAGAAGGUCUUGAGAAACCACAAUGCAAAUGCAGUUCCAUUCCAGGACUUGUCUAGUAGAGUUGGAGGCCACUUCCAUCGUCCUUUUUGUGACAGUACAAUACCUACCAAGGACGUGAUGUUCCAUCUUACCACGUGUCCAGAUAAGAGUAAUGUGAUCCAACCCACACUGGUGGAAUCUUCUGGAGACCAUUCCUACACAAAAACAGCUUCAUGCAAGACCCCCACACCUGCCACAGAUUUUGAUCAGACAACUCCUGCUACUACCUCAGACCAACUCAUGAUUCAGGAGGAGGAAGUGACUGUGCCACUGACCAACGUGCAUGAAUCAGUUAUUAGGAAUGAUACGGACCUGAAGCAAAGCCUGCUAACAUCUGGGUUUGAGUGUCCUCUCUGCCCCAAUUUCAAGACUCAAAGUGAUCGAGUGAUCCAGACGCAUUUGAGCAACCACAUUGCAAAUGGAGUGCAUUUCCAGGAAAACGUAAUCUGCAGGUGCAAUUUGCCUUGUAGAGCUGGAGGCCACUUUCAUUGUCUUUUUUGUGACAAGACACUAACUAACAAGGACAGUAUGGCAUUACAUCUGAUCAGAUGUCAAAACAAAAGUACAGUGGUCCAACCCGCACUGGUGGAACCUCCACCAGAGACGCAGCCUUUAAUAGACCCUCUGGAACCAUCAGGGAGUGAAGACCACUCGGUGUCCUCACAAACUGCAGAUCAUGCUUUCACACAAACUCCCACACUCAUCACAGCUUUUGAUCAGACAACUCCUGCUACUACCUCAGACCAACUCAUGAUUCAGGAGGAGGAAGUGACUGUGCCACUGACCAACGUAAAGUGUCCUCACUGCUAUAUUAUUCUAUACAAGCAGAAUUUGGGAGAAUAUAUCAAUAUGAGACAUAGCCAACUUAGAAAUGACAACAUUAUAGAGGGAUUGAAUAAAAAUGUUUUAGUCUGUUUUAUAAGCAUGUGGAUACAAGUUGAGAGCUGUAGUUCAUCUUACUAUAUUUGACUUUUAGGUAGAUAAAGGAUUAUCAAUGUUCAGCCUGUCAGUUUUUAUAACAAACCAAUGUUUACUAAGUGAUCUGUUUUUUUCUGGUUCAGGUGCAUAAAUCAAUUACUUGGAAAGAUACAUACCUGGAGCGAACCCUGUUACCAUCUGGGUUUGGGUGUCCUCUCUGCCCGUAUUUCAACACUGUAAAUGAUGACGUAAUCGAGAGGCAUCUGAGAAACCACAAUGAAAAUGGAGUGCAUUUCCAGG
This 3249-nucleotide long non-coding RNA is filed under the name Nothobranchius furzeri (turquoise killifish). RNAcentral's name for it is "lncRNA (ENSNFUG00015019136.1)". The record is from RNAcentral. Lineage: Eukaryota; Metazoa; Chordata; Actinopteri; Cyprinodontiformes; Nothobranchiidae.